AAGAUAUUAGUAAAACUAUUACAUAUCCUUGUCAAGGCUAAAUCAUGAGUUAUAAUCUCAUAUAUCUUA
Molecule: transfer RNA, 69 nt
Filed under: Typhlomys cinereus (Soft-furred tree mouse)
Lineage: Eukaryota; Metazoa; Chordata; Mammalia; Rodentia; Platacanthomyidae
Description: tRNA-Asp
Rfam family: tRNA
About the family: Transfer RNA (tRNA) molecules are approximately 80 nucleotides in length. Their secondary structure includes four short double-helical elements and three loops (D, anti-codon, and T loops).
Source: RNAcentral